GAUGAACGCUGGCGGCGUGCCUAAUACAUGCAAGUCGAGCGAACGGAUGAGAAGCUUGCUCCUCUGAUGUUAGCGGCGGACGGGUGAGUAACACGUGGAUAACCUACCUAUAAGACUGGGAUAACUUCGGGAAACCGGAGCUAAUACCGGAUAAUAUUUUGAACCGCAUGGUUCAAAAGUGAAAGACGGUCUUGCUGUCACUUAUAGAUGGAUCCGCGCUGCAUUAGCUAGUUGGUAAGGUAACGGCUUACCAAGGCAACGAUGCAUAGCCGACCUGAGAGGGUGAUCGGCCACACUGGAACUGAGACACGGUCCAGACUCCUACGGGAGGCAGCAGUAGGGAAUCUUCCGCAAUGGGCGAAAACCUGACGGAGCAACGCCGCGUGAGUGAUGAAGGUCUUCGGAUCGUAAAACUCUGUUAUUAGGGAAGAACAUAUGUGUAAGUAACUGUGCACAUCUUGACGGUACCUAAUCAGAAAGCCACGGCUAACUACGUGCCAGCAGCCGCGGUAAUACGUAGGUGGCAAGCGUUAUCCGGAAUUAUUGGGCGUAAAGCGCGCGUAGGCGGUUUUUUAAGUCUGAUGUGAAAGCCCACGGCUCAACCGUGGAGGGUCAUUGGAAACUGGAAAACUUGAGUGCAGAAGAGGAAAGUGGAAUUCCAUGUGUAGCGGUGAAAUGCGCAGAGAUAUGGAGGAACACCAGUGGCGAAGGCGACUUUCUGGUCUGUAACUGACGCUGAUGUGCGAAAGCGUGGGGAUCAAACAGG
This 766-nucleotide ribosomal RNA is filed under the name Staphylococcus aureus. RNAcentral's name for it is "bacterial SSU rRNA". It matches the Rfam family "Bacterial small subunit ribosomal RNA", at positions 28 to 776 of the family's 1533-position model. Lineage: Bacteria; Bacillati; Bacillota; Bacilli; Caryophanales; Staphylococcaceae. The record is from RNAcentral.